This 93-nucleotide microRNA precursor is filed under the name Musa acuminata subsp. malaccensis (wild Malaysian banana). RNAcentral describes it as "mir-156 microRNA precursor family". It matches the Rfam family "mir-156 microRNA precursor family". From Rfam's summary of the family: This family represents the plant microRNA (miRNA) precursor mir-156. Animal miRNAs are transcribed as ~70nt precursors and subsequently processed by the Dicer enzyme to give a ~22nt product. The record is from Rfam by way of RNAcentral. Lineage: Eukaryota; Viridiplantae; Streptophyta; Magnoliopsida; Zingiberales; Musaceae.
UUGACAGAAGAGAGUGAGCACUCAUGGUCUUUUCCCGCAUUCAUCAAGGGUUUAAUGCUCGAAGCUAUGGGUGCUCACUUCUCUCUCUGUCAA